AUGAACGCUGGCGGCGUGCCUAACACAUGCAAGUCGAACGAAGCAUAACGGCUCGAUUUCUUCGGGAUUGGAAUUCUUAACUUAGUGGCGGACGGGUGAGUAACGCGUGAGCAAUCUGCCUUUCAGAGGGGGAUAACAGUCGGAAACGACUGCUAAUACCGCAUAAUGCAUUGAAUUCGCAUGUUUUUAAUGCCAAAGAUUUUAUCGCUGAAAGAUGAGCUCGCGUCUGAUUAGCUAGUUGGUGAGGUAACGGCCCACCAAGGCGACGAUCAGUAGCCGGACUGAGAGGUUGAACGGCCACAUUGGGACUGAGACACGGCCCAGACUCCUACGGGAGGCAGCAGUGGGGAAUAUUGCGCAAUGGGGGCAACCCUGACGCAGCAACGCCGCGUGAUUGAUGAAGGUCUUCGGAUUGUAAAAAUCUUUAAUCAGGGACGAAACAAAUGACGGUACCUGAAGAAUAAGCUCCGGCUAACUACGUG
This 482-nucleotide ribosomal RNA is filed under the name uncultured bacterium. Its description in RNAcentral is "bacterial SSU rRNA". It matches the Rfam family "Bacterial small subunit ribosomal RNA", at positions 29 to 507 of the family's 1533-position model. The record is from RNAcentral.